Molecule: ribosomal RNA, 427 nt
Filed under: uncultured bacterium
Lineage: Bacteria
Description: partial 16S ribosomal RNA
Rfam family: Bacterial small subunit ribosomal RNA
Source: RNAcentral
UGGGGAAUAUUGCACAAUGGGCGCAAGCCUGAUGCAGCCAUGCCGCGUGUAUGAAGAAGGCCUUCGGGUUGUAAAGUACUUUCAGCGGGGAGGAAGGCGAUAAGGUUAAUAACCUUGUCGAUUGACGUUACCCGCAGAAGAAGCACCGGCUAACUCCGUGCCAGAAGCCGCGGUAAUACGGAGGGUGCAAGCGUUAAUAGGAAUUACUGGGCGUAAAGCGCACGCAGGCGGUCUGUCAAGUCGGAUGUGAAAUCCCCGGGCUCAACCUGGGAACUGCAUUCGAAACUGGCAGGCUAGAGUCUUGUAGAGGGGGGUAGAAUUCCAGGUGUAGCGGUGAAAUGCGUAGAGAUCUGGAGGAAUACCGGUGGCGAAGGCGGCCCCCUGGACAAAGACUGACGCUCAGGUGCGAAAGCGUGGGGAGGAAACA